This 305-nucleotide ribosomal RNA is filed under the name uncultured bacterium. RNAcentral describes it as "bacterial SSU rRNA". It matches the Rfam family "Bacterial small subunit ribosomal RNA", at positions 337 to 659 of the family's 1533-position model. The record is from RNAcentral.
UCCUACGGGAGGCAGCAGUGGGGAAUAUUGCACAAUGGGGGGAACCCUGAUGCAGCAACGCCGCGUGAGUGAAGAAGUACCUCGGUAUGUAAAGCUCUAUCAGCAGGGAAGAAAAUGACGGUACCUGACUAAGAAGCACCGGCUAAAUACGUGCCAGCAGCCGCGGUAAUACGUAUGGUGCAAGCGUUAUCCGGAUUUACUGGGUGUAAAGGGAGCGCAGGCGGCGCGGCAAGUCAGAUGUGAAAGCCCGGGGCUCAACCCCGGGACUGCAUUUGAAACUGCCGGGCUAGAGUAUCGGAGAGGCA